Molecule: ribosomal RNA, 497 nt
Filed under: uncultured bacterium
Lineage: Bacteria
Description: partial 16S ribosomal RNA
Rfam family: Bacterial small subunit ribosomal RNA
Source: RNAcentral
GAUGAACGCUGGCGGCGUGCCUAAUACAUGCAAGUCGAGCGAACAGACGAGGAGCUUGCUCCUCUGACGUUAGCGGCGGACGGGUGAGUAACACGUGGAUAACCUACCUAUAAGACUGGGAUAACUUCGGGAAACCGGAGCUAAUACCGGAUAACAUGUUGAACCGCAUGGUUCAACAGUGAAAGACGGUCUUGCUGUCACUUAUAGAUGGAUCCGCGCCGCAUUAGCUAGUUGGUAAGGUAACGGCUUACCAAGGCAACGAUGCGUAGCCGACCUGAGAGGGUGAUAGGCCACACUAGAACUGAGACACGGUCCAGACUCCUACGGGAGGCAGCAGUAGGGAAUCUUCCGCAAUGGGCGAAAGCCUGACGGAGCAACGCCGCGUGAGUGAAGAAGGUCUUCGGAUCGUAAAGCUCUGUUAUUAGGGAAGAACAAAUGUGUAAGUAACUAUGCACGUCUUGACGGUACCUAAUCAGAAAGCCACGGCUAACUACGUG